AAUGUAUGACGCCAUUGACUUUUUAAUCAACGUUUGACCAUUCGUCUUAUUCAAAAAAUUUAUGUAAUUAUCAUUUAUUUUAUUGUGGCUUGAUUUAUUAUCAAAUAUUCUUUAAGUAUAACAUAAAUAUUUUUAUAUUUGAACAAAAAAUUUGAAUAAGACGAAUGGUCAAACGUUGUUCGAAGAGUCAACGGUGUCAUAUAUU
Oryza sativa Indica Group (long-grained rice) is the source of this 205-nucleotide microRNA precursor. It matches the Rfam family "MIR812 microRNA precursor family". NCBI's taxonomy places the organism in Eukaryota, Viridiplantae, Streptophyta, Magnoliopsida, Poales, Poaceae. The record is from Rfam.